Molecule: ribosomal RNA, 342 nt
Filed under: uncultured Pseudomonas sp.
Lineage: Bacteria; Pseudomonadati; Pseudomonadota; Gammaproteobacteria; Pseudomonadales; Pseudomonadaceae
Description: bacterial SSU rRNA
Rfam family: Bacterial small subunit ribosomal RNA
Source: RNAcentral
UGGCUGUCGUCAGCUCGUGUCGUGAGAUGUUGGGUUAAGUCCCGUAACGAGCGCAACCCUUGUCCUUAGUUACCAGCACGUUAUGGGUGGGCACUCUAAGGAGACUGCCGGUGAACGAAACCGGAGGAAGGGUGGGGAUGACGUCAAGUCGUCAUGGCCCUUACGGCCUGGGCUACACACGUGCUACAAUGGUCGGUACAAAGGGUUGCCGAAGCCGCGAGGUGGAGCUAAUCCCAUAAAACCGAUCGUAGUCCGGAUCGCAGUCUGCAACUCGACUGCGUGAAGUCGGAAUCGCUAGUAAUCGUGAAUCAGAAUGUCACGGUGAAUACGUUCCCGGGCCUU